This 1204-nucleotide long non-coding RNA is filed under the name Phaseolus vulgaris (common bean). Its description in RNAcentral is "long non-coding RNA (PVUL_LNC000366)". Lineage: Eukaryota; Viridiplantae; Streptophyta; Magnoliopsida; Fabales; Fabaceae. The record is from RNAcentral.
AAAAAAAUACUCAUUACUUUUAUACUAGAAAAAUAUGUAUACAAUAAGUAUAUAAAAUAAGCACUCAAUUGAUGAAAUGACUUAAAGUCUUGAGUGAAUUUUUGGAUUGCAUGUUGCCUUCAAUAUGCUUUACUUUAGUGUUUCUGAUGUCUCUCACAAUAUGUUAAUGCAGUAACUUGUGACUUAUCAAGCAUUUCAGUUUCUAUACUAACAUAUUACAUAAUCAAAUACAAUUAAAUCUGAUUACUACUUAUACAAAUAUUUAAAAAUCGAUAAUAUUUCAAUUAUCUCAUGGUCAUUGGAAUUUGCAGCUUCUUAGGGUGUACUCAUUGCUUCAAGGAUGUCUUUUAAAAUUCCUCAUUGUUUAGCAGAGGAGUCAACUUCCUCUGGUUCUUCUACAAUCAGUGGAUAGUAAAUUCCUUCAGCUCCUUGAAGUUGUGCAAAUUGGGUUGACUGCUCUUCCUUAACAUCAUAGCUAUAGUGUUUUGUAGAUUUUCUGCUUCAUGUAUCACUGCUUCCUUGAAAGUAGAUGUUGUAACAACAUUUUCCCCCUUUUGAGAGUCAAUGGAAUCUCCCAGUCAGGAUACAAAUCUAUUGAACUCGUCUGAUGUAUUCAAAGGAAAAGGAACAAAUGGUUUGUGGUGGUGUUGCUGCUACUACUGAGAAAAUGAAAAGAAAGUUUCAAAUAUCACAUUGUAGGCUUUGUGAUUGCCAACAAACUACUAUUGAAUGUGAUCUAAGGAAAUUGUUGAGACAGCAGAACCAGAAUUGGUGUUAGCUAGCAGAACAGAGUCUCGGCAGGACGACGAGGUGAAGUAGUGUUUGAUCAAGUGGCAAGGCAAAUCAAAAGAUGAAGCAACAUGGGAAGAUGAACUCACAAUUCUCAAUCAAUUUCCCGCUUUUAACCUUGAGGACAAGGUUGUAUCUCAAGAAGGUGGAAUUGAUAGAACCCAAAAUGAUUCAUGGGCCCAAAAGAAUGUUCAAGCUGAUCCAGGUUUACAUAGGCCUAGAAUAUGGCGUGUGUACACUAGGAGAAACAGAAUUGAAAAGGCUAACAGAGCAUGAUGAGGUGGCAGAGAGAGAGAGAGAGAAAGAAAAGGUUGGGUGAUAGUUAGUUACGGGGUUUGUGGGUGUGUGAGGCGUGUAUCCUUAUAGGCACAGCCUAGCAUGAGAAUGGGGGGGAAAGAAUAUUGCAGUUUUGCAG